UAGCUCAGCUGGGAGAGCACCUCCCUUACAAGGAGGGGGUCGGCGGUUCGAUCCC
This 55-nucleotide transfer RNA is filed under the name Citrobacter freundii. Its description in RNAcentral is "tRNA-Val". It matches the Rfam family "tRNA", at positions 8 to 60 of the family's 71-position model. Rfam says of the family: Transfer RNA (tRNA) molecules are approximately 80 nucleotides in length. Their secondary structure includes four short double-helical elements and three loops (D, anti-codon, and T loops). The record is from RNAcentral. RNAcentral also lists the same sequence under 67 other names. Lineage: Bacteria; Pseudomonadati; Pseudomonadota; Gammaproteobacteria; Enterobacterales; Enterobacteriaceae.